Molecule: ribosomal RNA, 464 nt
Filed under: uncultured Pelotomaculum sp.
Lineage: Bacteria; Bacillati; Bacillota; Clostridia; Eubacteriales; Desulfotomaculaceae
Description: bacterial SSU rRNA
Rfam family: Bacterial small subunit ribosomal RNA
Source: RNAcentral
CCCGCACAAGCGGUGGAGCAUGUGGUUAAUUCGACGCAACGCGAAGAACCUUACCAGGGCUUGACAUCCCCUGACCGCGUAUGAAAGUACGUUUUCACCCUCGGGUGACAGGGAGACAGGUGGUGCAUGGUUGUCGUCAGCUCGUGUCGUGAGAUGUUGGGUUAAGUCCCGCAACGAGCGCAACCCCUACGUUUAGUUGCUAACGCGUGAAGGCGAGCACUCUAGACGAACUGCCGUUGACAAAACGGAGGAAGGUGGGGAUGACGUCAAAUCAUCAUGCCCCUUAUGUUCUGGGCUACACACGUGCUACAAUGGCCGGUACAGACGGACGCAAAGCCGCGAGGUGGAGCAAAUCCUAAAAAGCCGGUCUCAGUUCGGAUUGCAGGCUGCAAUUCGCCUGCAUGAAGUCGGAAUCGCUAGUAAUCGCAGGUCAGCAUGCUGCAGUGAAUACGUUCCCGGGCCUU